Molecule: long non-coding RNA, 4379 nt
Organism: Lactuca sativa (garden lettuce)
Lineage: Eukaryota; Viridiplantae; Streptophyta; Magnoliopsida; Asterales; Asteraceae
Source: RefSeq, a predicted model, not a curated record
AUUCACGAUAGCUUCUCUUAGUAUUAUUAAAUUGGUCUGAAGCUAAUGUUAGGACUAUAGGUAUUAGCGAUAAAUCAUAUUUAUUUAUUGGAUUUAUCUAGUCUCUAUAUUUUAGCCUAUUCUGUUAUGUUAUCUUUGUACUCUCUGUAUUAUAUAUAGUAUUGAAUACAAUGAACUCUUUUAAGGUAAAUUUUAUAUGCCUUAUAUGGUAUCAGAUUAGGACUUUUUUAUCUCAAUCAUGACCGGCGGCAACCCAUCUUCUUAUUCUUCUUCUCUUUCUCUUAACACCAUUAUCCACAUGAUCACUGUCAAACUAUCCCCCACAAAUUAUUUACUAUGGCGCAAUUAGCUUCUCACCCUUCUCGCCUAUCAAAAAUUAUGGGGCCACAUCGAUGGGACCACAGUCGCACCUUCAAAAACUUCAGCCUCUGAUGCUGCUGGUGUCUCUGCCCAAACCCUACGUACGCCUCCUGGCUCGAAGCAGAUCAGAAAGCUUUCCUCAUCAUUCAAGCUUCUCUCACCAAAGCUGCAAUGGCCAAAACCCUAGGUCUUACCACAACUCACGAAGUAUGGAAUACUCUUCAAGUUUCCUAUCGACAAGAUUCUCAAGAGCGUAUGGAUGUUCUUCGUGACAGCCUGCAUCAACUUCAAAAAGGAUCAUCUUUUGUUUAAGAGUUUGGUGCAAAAUUCAAAUCCAUCUGUGAUCAGCUAGCCGCUAUUGGCAGCCCUGUUGAUUGUUUUUUAUGUGGGUUUGGAGCUUCGUUUGAAACCUUCUCCACUACUUAUCGUGCUCUCAAACCAGCUCCAAGCUUUCAUACCCUCGUAUCCUAAGCUGAAUCUCAUGAAUUAUUUCUAAAAACGAUCCAUGGAACUACUGUUCCCACUGUUGCUUUCAAUGCCACUCGCCAGUCCUCGUCCUCUACUGCUUCCUCUCGUGGUAACUUAUCUGGUGGCUGAUACUCAGGACGAGGAAGGGAUGAUCAAAAUGGUGGUCAGGAAAGGGGGCGUCGCCCUCCUCAUUGUUAGUUGUGUAGGACAAAUGACCAGUAUGCCAACUCUUGUCCCCAAUUGAGCACUUUUGAAAAUCAAGGAUCGACUUACCAAUCUUGCUCAAGCUUUUCAAGCUCAAUGUCCUGUCGCCAACAAUUCUCCUGAUUGGUAUGUCGAUUCUGAGGCAACAUCACACAUGGCAUCCAAUUCCACGAAUCUUGACUCCACUACUCCUUAUGCUGGUGCUAAUUAGGUCAUCUUUGCAAAUGAAUCGGGUAACAAACGAAAUACUGGCAAGGGGAAAAUGUGAGAACGGAUUAUAUAUGUUGAAGCAAGGACUUCAAGUUUUUCUUUCUACUUUAAAAUCUUCCAAAAUAAGUGCAUCAUAUAAAUUGUUGCACAAUCGCUUAGGGCAUGUUUCAUUUGACAUUAUUUCCUGACUUAAUAAAUCGGGUCUUUUGUCUAUUUCAUCUUUAUUACCUACACCUCAUGUUUGUUCUUCAUGUCACUUGUCUAAAAGCAAACAACUACAACUUCCAAUCAAUCCCAAACGAUCACUACAAGUACUAGAUUUAGUCCAUUGUGAUCUUUGGGACCUGCACCCACAGAAUCUGCAAAUGGUUAUAGAUAUUAUUGCAUUUUUAUUGAUGACUUCUCAAGAUUUACGUGGUUUUAUCCUCUAAAGUUAAAGUCUAAUUUAUUCAAUGCUUUUACCAUAUUUUUAGCCUUUGUACAAACUUAGUUCUCUUGCAAAAUAAAUGUUUUUCAGAGUGAUGGUGGGACUGAGUUUGUUAAUAAUCGGGUCCGCUCACUUCUUGCCACUAAUGGCACUCAUCAUCAGCUCUCGUGUGCCUAUACUCCUCAACAUAAUGACAAAGCAGAACGGAAACACAAUCAUCUUACUGAAACGGGUCUCGCUAUGUUAUUUAAUGCACAAGCUCCAACAGCUUUGUGGGUUGAUGGUUUCAGCUCAGCAACCUAUAUUAUCAAUCGAAUGCCUUCUAAGAUUCUUGAUUAUAAGAGCCCAUUUGAGCUUCUAUAUCGUUCAUCUCCAACCUGUAAUGUGUUUCGAGCCUUUGGGUGCAUUAUCUUUCCUUAUUUACGCCCUUAUGCAUCAAAUAAAUUGCAACCUUGAAGUUAUCCAUGUAUUUUUAUCGGUUAUAGUUCUCAAUAUAAAGGAUAUUGAUGUCUGGAUCCGACAUCUGGUCGAAUUUGUACCACACGCCAUGCUAUGUUUAAUGAAACCCAAUUUACAUUUAGUGGCCUCACUUCUCUAUUUGAUAAGGCCACCUUGGUAUUUUCUCGGUUUGAUGACAUUGCCUCGUCACUUUUUCCAGAUCCACCUCCCGAGGAACCAACUUCACAUCCAUCAUCGGCUACAAUUUCUUCUGCUUUGGUAUCUCCAUGUGUCUUAUGCUCUCCAUCAGCGGCCCCCACUCCUUCGAAUAUUGUUCCACUUGUUGUAGCCAUACCGUCACAGCCUUCAUCCUCGAUAGAGAAUGAAGCACCACCUGUACAUCCUGCUAACGCAGACCAACCUUUAGUCACAGUGCCUUUCAGACCUUCAUCUUCCACACCUCCUAUGGUGACUCGAUCUCGGGAAGGUAUUUUCAAAACUAAGCAUUUCGUUGAUCUUGCUUAUCUCCAACAAUCACCAUUGCAUCAAUUACUUUUUUCUGCUAAAGAGCGUCGUGGUUUUAAGUCUGCCUCUAAAAAUCCACGUUGGCUAUCUGCUAUGGAAGAUGAAAUGCAUGCACUACGCUCUAAUAACACUUAGUCUUUGGUUCCUCGUCCACUCAACUGAAAUGUAGUUGGAUCAAAAUGGGUAUAUCGCAUUAAGUAUAACUCUGAUGGCACAGUCCAACGUUACAAAGCACGUUUAGUUGCACAAGGUUUCAGUUAGAUUUCUGGUAUUGAUUAUACAUAUACUUUCAGUCCUGUGGUUAAGGCCGCAACUGUCCCCAUUGUUCUUUCUUUGGCUGUCAUGCAUCGUUGGCCCUUACACCAAUUAGAUGUUAACAAUGCCUUUCUAAAUGGGAGGCUUAAGGAAAUAGUCUUCAUGGAACAAACCCCAGGAUUCUUCUCUGACACACGGUUUCCUAAUCAUGUUUGUCAACUUCACAAAGCUCUCCAUGGCCUUAAAUAAGCGUCACGUGCCUGGUUUCAGCGUCUCAUCUCCUUUCUUAUCAGCCUUGGUUUUGUUUGCAGUCGAGCAGAUACCUCACUUUUUGUUUUUAAACGUGACUCAUAUCUUUUGUACCUGUUGGUAUACUUUGAUGACAUUAUACUCACAGGUAAUGAUCCUUCUCUCAUUCACAAAUUCAUUUCCAAAUUACACUCUGAAUUUCCCUGUUAAGGAUCUUGGAACUCUGAAUUAUUUUUUGGGUCUUGAAGUCUCCUACAUAGAUGAUGGUUUAUUUCUAACACAAGCCAAGUAUGCCCAUGAUAUUUUACUUAGAGCCAACCUGCUUGACUCUAAGCCAUUUUCUAUGCCUUUAGCCACUUCCGAGGCACUUGUCUCCACUGACUCUCCAUUUUCGGAUCCUACUACAUAUCGAUCAUUAGUUGGUGCCCUACAAUACCUCACCAUCACUCGUCCAGACUUGUCCUUUGUUGCUAAUCAAGUCAAUCGGUUCCUGCAUGCUCCAACUACCGAUCACUUUCAAGCAGUUAAUCGAAUUCUACGAUAUGUUAAUGACACUCUAACUUACGGCCUGUACUUUACUCAUCCACGAUCAUCUUCAAUUCUUGGCUAUUCGGACGCGGAUUGGACUAGGUGUAUUGAGACUCGUAGGUCCACCUAUGGCUAUUCAAUAUUUCUUGGUGGUAAUCUUGUUUCCUGGAGUCCUAAGAAACAACCUACUGUCUCCGGGUCUAGUUGUGAGUCUGAGUAUUGGACCGUGGCAAACACAACUGUUGAAAUAGUGUGGAUAACUCAUUUAUGACGUGAACUAUUUGCUCUUCCUCCUGAUCGACCUACGUUGUUAUGUGACAAUAAAAGUGCUUUAUUUCUUGGUUAGAAUCCAAUUUCACACAAAAAAGCUAAUCAUAUUGAUAUUGACUAUCACUUCAUUCGUGAGCUCAUUGCUUCUGGACGGCUAUACACACGUUUUGUGCCCACCUCUUUACAACUAGCGGACAUCUUCACCAAAAGUCUUCCAAGGCCUCUAUUUGAGAAAUUUCGAGCCAAGCUGCGUGUUGGUCCCCCACCUGUGUGCUUGCGGGGGGUAUUAGCGAUAAAGCAUAGUUAUUUAUUGUAUUUUUCUAGUCUCUGUAUUUUAGCAUAUUAUGUUAUGUUAUCUUUGCACUCUCAGUAUUAUAUAUAGUAUUGAAUACAAUGAAAUCUUUUAAGGGGAAUUUUAUACGCCUUAUAAUAGGCCUUAGUUUUA